UACGUAGGGAGCGAGCGUUGUCCGGAAUUACUGGGUGUAAAGGGUGCGUAGGCGGGACUGCAAGUCAGGCGUGAAAUACCGGAGCUUAACUCCGGGGCUGCGCUUGAAACUGUGGUUCUUGAGUGAAGUAGAGGCAGGCGGAAUUCCUAGUGUAGCGGUGAAAUGCGUAGAUAUUAGGAGGAACACCAGUGGCGAAGGCGGCCUGCUGGGCUUUAACUGACGCUGAGGCACGAAAGCAUGGGGAGCAAAC
This 250-nucleotide ribosomal RNA is filed under the name uncultured bacterium. RNAcentral's name for it is "partial 16S ribosomal RNA". It matches the Rfam family "Bacterial small subunit ribosomal RNA", at positions 524 to 773 of the family's 1533-position model. The record is from RNAcentral.